GGAUUAAAGCCAUUAUCAUGACUCUCACGAAAGAGUUGUGAUGUAGUUUCACGAGCAAACUUGGUGACAAGUGAAAAUUUCUCCAAGACUUGAAUUGAAAUAUCGCGAGCAGGGUCAUGACCCUUGUGCUUUUGUCUCCCACCAUAUUCUGAAACACUAGAAGUCAUUGCAGAGGAGACCCCAUUUACCAUAUCCGAGCUAUGAAGUGAAGAGAUAGAACCAACUGAAUUGUGUAAAGGAGUCCCUUUUGCAAUGGAAACAGCCCUUGGUAGCUCCAGGGAUGACAGGCUUCGCUGAAGUGGAUCCUGGAAAUCAUUCAUGAGGAAAACAUUUGCAUCAUCUUCAGACCGCUUAAUGAGAACAUAUCGUUUCAGUGUUUGACAAAAUUCACGAACCCCUCCAUUGUAGAAGUACAGAGGCGGAAAUGCAAGCCCUGAAGACAGAACAAUAAUCACAUACUGCAAGCCAAGAGUCGGUGUGUGCCGCCGAAUUGACCUCACAUCGCUCAACGCCACAAGUUUAAUAGUAUAAAGCUUCCUAUCUUUCUCCGAAAUACCCGAGAUGGAC
Molecule: unclassified non-coding RNA, 567 nt
Filed under: Hevea brasiliensis (rubber tree)
Lineage: Eukaryota; Viridiplantae; Streptophyta; Magnoliopsida; Malpighiales; Euphorbiaceae
Source: RNAcentral